Molecule: ribosomal RNA, 516 nt
Filed under: uncultured bacterium
Lineage: Bacteria
Description: bacterial SSU rRNA
Rfam family: Bacterial small subunit ribosomal RNA
Source: RNAcentral
GAGUUUGAUCCUGGCUCAGGAUGAACGCUGGCGGCGUGCUUAACACAUGCAAGUCGAACGGGAAACCUUUUAUUGAAGCUUCGGCAGAUUUAGAUUGUUUCUAGUGGCGGACGGGUGAGUAACGCGUGGGUAACCUGCCUUAUACAGGGGGAUAACAGUCAGAAAUGACUGCUAAUACCGCAUAAGCGCACAGAGCUGCAUGGCUCGGUGUGAAAAACUCCGGUGGUAUAAGAUGGACCCGCGUUGGAUUAGCUAGUUGGUGAGGUAACGGCCCACCAAGGCGACGAUCCAUAGCCGGCCUGAGAGGGUGAACGGCCACAUUGGGACUGAGACACGGCCCAGACUCCUACGGGAGGCAGCAGUGGGGAAUAUUGCACAAUGGGGGAAACCCUGAUGCAGCGACGCCGCGUGAAGGAAGAAGUAUCUCGGUAUGUAAACUUCUAUCAGCAGGGAAGAUAGUGACGGUACCUGACUAAGAAGCCCCGGCUAACUACGUGCCAGCCGCCGCGGUAAUUC